UACGGGGGGGGCAAGCGUUGUUCGGAAUUACUGGGCGUAAAGGGCUCGUAGGUGGCCAACUAAGUCAGACGUGAAAUCCCUCGGCUUAACCGGGGAACUGCGUCUGAUACUGGAUGGCUUGAGUGUGGGAGAGGGAUGCGGAAUUCCAGGUGUAGCGGUGAAAUGCGUAGAUAUCAGGAGGAACACCGGUGGUGUAGACGGCUUUCUGGACCGUAACUGACGCUGAAACACGAAAGCGUGGGUAGCAAACAGG
Molecule: ribosomal RNA, 253 nt
Filed under: uncultured bacterium
Lineage: Bacteria
Description: partial 16S ribosomal RNA
Rfam family: Bacterial small subunit ribosomal RNA
Source: RNAcentral